This 75-nucleotide transfer RNA is filed under the name Thermoplasmata archaeon. RNAcentral's name for it is "tRNA-Thr". It matches the Rfam family "tRNA". From Rfam's summary of the family: Transfer RNA (tRNA) molecules are approximately 80 nucleotides in length. The record is from RNAcentral. Lineage: Archaea; Methanobacteriati; Thermoplasmatota; Thermoplasmata. RNAcentral also lists the same sequence under 3 other names.
GCCACUGUAGCUCAGCGGUAGAGCGGCGGUUUCGUAAACCGCAGGCCGGGGGUUCAAAACCCUCCAGUGGCUCCA